RNAcentral lists this ribosomal RNA (776 nucleotides) under uncultured Neocallimastigales. Its description in RNAcentral is "partial large subunit ribosomal RNA". It matches the Rfam family "Eukaryotic large subunit ribosomal RNA", at positions 25 to 628 of the family's 3401-position model. Lineage: Eukaryota; Fungi; Neocallimastigomycota; Neocallimastigomycetes; Neocallimastigales. The record is from RNAcentral.
UCGUCUAUAUACGUAUAGCAUAUCAAUAAGCGGAGGAAAAGAAACUAACUAAGGAUUCCCUCAGUAACGGCGAGUGAAGCGGGAAGAGCUCAAAUUUGAAAUCUUCAAGGUUCUACCUUGACGAAUUGUGGUUUAAAGAAGUGUUUUCUGUUGGAGUUUUGGUAAAAGUUCUUUGGAAUAGGACAUCAUAGAGGGUGAGAAUCCCGUAUUUGACCAUUACUUCCAGCGUUGUGAUACACUUUCAAAGAGUCGGAUUGUUUGGGAAUGCAGUCCAAAAUGGGUGGUAAAUUUCAUCUAAAGCUAAAUACUGGCGAGAGACCGAUAGCGAACAAGUACCGUGAGGGAAAGAUGAAAAGAACUUUGAAAAGAGAGUUAAACAGUACGUGAAAUUGUCAAAAGGGAAGCGUUUGACACCAGUGUUGUUUUCUCGAAAAUCAAUUAAAAAUGGUGGGAUUUUGUGUUGUAUUGACUUUAUCAGCUUUCUGCACUUUUUUCCUAUCUUUUUUAAUGCACUUUUCGUUUAACAAGUCAACAUCAAUUUCUUUUGUUGUAAAAGGGUCAUUGGAAGGUGGCUUUCUUUUCGGAGAAAGUGUUUAUAGCCUUUGACUUCUGCAAUCGGAGAGAUUGAGGUCUGCAGCGUAGAUCCUUCGGGGUUAGAUGCAUUUGUGCUAAGUUAUAGCCUUUCAUAGACAACUUGUUGACUAUGAUCAGUCAUGUAGCUUACUCGCUUAUGUUAUUUUACCUACGCUUAGGAUGUUGACGAUCAGCUGAGCGCG